Molecule: RNase P RNA, 390 nt
Filed under: Arthrobacter sp. ISL-30
Lineage: Bacteria; Bacillati; Actinomycetota; Actinomycetes; Micrococcales; Micrococcaceae
Description: Bacterial RNase P class A
Rfam family: Bacterial RNase P class A
About the family: Ribonuclease P (RNase P) is a ubiquitous endoribonuclease, found in archaea, bacteria and eukarya as well as chloroplasts and mitochondria.
Source: Rfam by way of RNAcentral
UGGGACAGCCAGGCGGCCGCGCGUCACGAAAGUGGCUCGAGGAACGUCCGGGCUCCGCAGGGCAGGGUGGUGGGUAACACCCACUCGGGGCAACCCGCAGGCCAGUGCCACAGAAAAUAGACCGCCUGUACUCCUUGCGUCAGCGCAAGGAAUUGCAGGUAAGGGUGAAACGGCGGUGUAAGAGACCACCAGCUCCCCGGGUGACCGGGGAGGCUAGGUAAACCCCACCCGGAGCAAGGCCAGACAGGGCACGUUUGAGGGCUGCCCGCCCGAGUGCCCGGGUAGGCCGCUGGAGGGCGCCGGUAACGGCGCUCGUAGAUGGAUGGCCGUCACUCCCUUGCUGGCAACGGCUCGGGAGAACAGAACCCGGCGUAUCGGCUGUCCCAUCCG